RNAcentral lists this ribosomal RNA (759 nucleotides) under uncultured bacterium. Its description in RNAcentral is "bacterial SSU rRNA". It matches the Rfam family "Bacterial small subunit ribosomal RNA", at positions 33 to 787 of the family's 1533-position model. The record is from RNAcentral.
ACGCUGGCGGCAGGCCUAACACAUGCAAGUCGAGCGGUAGAGAGAAGCUUGCUUCUCUUGAGAGCGGCGGACGGGUGAGUAAUGCCUAGGAAUCUGCCUGGUAGUGGGGGAUAACGUUCGGAAACGGACGCUAAUACCGCAUACGUCCUACGGGAGAAAGCAGGGGACCUUCGGGCCUUGCGCUAUCAGAUGAGCCUAGGUCGGAUUAGCUAGUUGGUGGGGUAAUGGCUCACCAAGGCGACGAUCCGUAACUGGUCUGAGAGGAUGAUCAGUCACACUGGAACUGAGACACGGUCCAGACUCCUACGGGAGGCAGCAGUGGGGAAUAUUGGACAAUGGGCGAAAGCCUGAUCCAGCCAUGCCGCGUGUGUGAAGAAGGUCUUCGGAUUGUAAAGCACUUUAAGUUGGGAGGAAGGGUUGUAGAUUAAUACUCUGCAAUUUUGACGUUACCGACAGAAUAAGCACCGGCUAACUCUGUGCCAGCAGCCGCGGUAAUACAGAGGGUGCAAGCGUUAAUCGGAAUUACUGGGCGUAAAGCGCGCGUAGGUGGUUAGUUGAGUUGGAUGUGAAAUCCCCGGGCUCAACCUGGGAACUGCAUUCAAAACUGACUGACUAGAGUAUGGUAGAGGGUGGUGGAAUUUCCUGUGUAGCGGUGAAAUGCGUAGAUAUAGGAAGGAACACCAGUGGCGAAGGCGACCACCUGGACUGAUACUGACACUGAGGUGCGAAAGCGUGGGGAGCAAACAGGAUUAGAUACCC